Molecule: long non-coding RNA, 1118 nt
Organism: Spea bombifrons (plains spadefoot toad)
Lineage: Eukaryota; Metazoa; Chordata; Amphibia; Anura; Pelobatidae
Exons: 2
Source: RefSeq, a predicted model, not a curated record
AGAAAAGUAAUGGAAUACAUUUGUCAGACAUCGGUUAUGAUAUUUUCAAUUUGAAUCUGCAAAGUAUGGUGGCGCAGGCCAUGGUUUGUAUGGGAUGGACCACAAAUGGUUGUUGUUUAGUUGGCUUUAGGGCGGAUGGCCUGGGACUAGUUUAAAGUUUGGUUUGGGACAAGAGUGUUUAUGUGGUUACAAUUUGUUUAUGUUCAUAAGUAAUAAGUUGAUUUGUAAUAUUUUAUAACGCUAAAUAAAAGACCACGCCGUGUUUUAUACAAAUUGAAUUUAUUAUUCAAAUGAUGUAUUUGUUUUAUGAGCAUUAACUGUUUUGCAGGUGGUGCUUGGCAGUGAUUUCUACCAUCUAUCUCAUCGUGGCAUUCAAAGGAAAUCCUUCAGCCCUCACUGGGGUAGAAACAUUCAACUGAAAAAAGAACCCAAGGUUAGCUGGUUUGAGCAGCAGACGCUGAAGAGAAGGGAGAAAAGACAGCCUGAUGUGGUUCCCACAGACCCCGUCUUCAGCUUGCAGUGGUACCUGCAUAAGGAUGAAAAUCUUGACUUAGGCAUCCAGACUGCUUGGAACCGUGGAUAUACCGGACGAGGUGUGGUGGUCACCAUUCUGGAUGAUGGGCUUGAAAAGGACCACCCCGAUCUCGCAUUAAACUAUGAUCCGGAGACGAGUUACGAUUUUGAUGACAAUGAUCCUGACCCUCAGCCCCGAUAUAACUCAUCUAAUGAGAACUACCACGGCUAUGGGCUCUUGCAUGCAUGGAAUUCUGGAUGAGCCGGCUGAAACAUGGGAGACAACGCAGCCUCAAAGAAAGUGCCUCAUAACAAUUGUGAGCACCCCCAAGAAAGUGUAUUCAGAUCUGAUUUUGACUUACAAUGUCACUGCCUGUUCUGGGAAAAAAGCAACUCAUGCUUAAGAGCUGCCUUUCCAAGUGUAGACUUUCUGAACACCUCAUCCAUUCUGGUCCCUCAAUCUAUGUCAAUGGCGGUGAUAAUGAGUGUGGCUAUUGUAGCGGUUAUGGGCAUGCUGGUUUUAGUUCAGUCAUUUCUACUAAAAAGAUUCAGUUGACCUGUUUUUGACAUGUAAAUAGAGUUUCAUUAAAUGUUUAGCAAAAUAA